Molecule: long non-coding RNA, 6789 nt
Filed under: Linum usitatissimum (flax)
Lineage: Eukaryota; Viridiplantae; Streptophyta; Magnoliopsida; Malpighiales; Linaceae
Description: long non-coding RNA (LUSI_LNC004991)
Source: RNAcentral
UAAAAUUGAUUUUUAACUUCAUAUGACCAUUAUUUACGGAAUUGUCAUAGUCAAACUUGAUUUUUAGCCAUUUCCAACAUGUAUGUCAAAUAUUAGCCGAUUUUAAAAUUUUGAAAUUUUGUAAAAAUUCUUAAAUUGACUAAUAUUUGACAUUCAUAUUGGAGAUGAAUAAAAAUUAAAACCUCAUCAUGUUAAGCUCUUAUGCGACCUGUUGCUAUCUCUUAUGGACGCUAUAAGAGGUAUUAACCCGAUUUUUGAAGAACAUUGAGAUCCAAACGACUCCUAAGCUCAAUUCAUCCAUAUUACAUUACAUACAUAACACAUCAACUUAAAUCUUACACAUUUUUAAAAAUAUUUGAAAUGUUAUGUAAUUGUUUAAAAAAAUUAGACAUAAGACUUCUCCAAAUUUCAGUUAUUCACUCAUGUGCAAGUGAAAGACACACAACACAAUCAAAUAUAUUAUCUAAAGAUUCAACGAAAAAAAAUCAAAUCGAACUCAUCACGAUCAUCAAACCGAACAACCCAACAACCAUCGAUCCGACCCGAUUAGGCCCGGACGAGCCCACAGCAGAGGUCGUUGCAUUCACCACGCCCUCUGCGGUCUGAGUAGUGUUGUUGAUGGCGGUGGACGCCGUGUUCGCUAUAUCUGUGGCUGCCUGUUGAGUAUUGUUUGCAGUGGAGGUAGCGGCAUUAACCGCAUUUUCCGCCGCAUGUUGUGCAUCUUCGGUGGUAUUCUUCGCCUCACCAACGGCAUUACCCGCCUGGUUGACCAGUCCCUGCGCUGCAUCGAACGGGUUUUCUUCCGCCCGGACGAUGGAGAAGAUCAACAUUAGGCAUAAGAGCAUCAAGAGGGGAAGAGAUUUUUCCAUGAUUAGCAAAUUAGUUGAUUAACUAUGUAAUAUUUUUUUUGUAAUGUAAUGUGAUUAAGGAUGAGGGUGGUGAUGGUGGGGAGGGGGGGAGGGGGGGGGGGAUUUUCCCCUUGAAUUGCACAAAGAAUAAACAAUUGAUUUGUAAUUUUUAUAUAUAUUUACUUUGUAAUUGUGGUUGAGAUGUAUUUGUUUGGUUGGUGGUUGUCUUUCUUUGAGCUAUUUAGUGAUUAGGGGAUUUAGACUAAUUCAAUUUGAGAGAUCUUUAUUAUAUUAUUUUUUUCAUAAAUCCAAUGUUUUUUAUUUUCUUAAAACUAGUUGAGUGGAAUUUCAUCGUUAACCGCAACUUAUAAGUUAAUUCUUCAACAUCAGCCGAUUCAGACGUUCAUUUAAUUUCACCUAAGUUUUAUUCAAGUGAUGGGUAGACCAUCCAUAUACAUGUCCGUAAGUAGUGACAAAAAAAAAAAAAAAUACAUGUCCGUAAGUAGUGACAAUUUCCCUAUAAAAACACGCUUUUGAUAUGGCUUCAAUGAAUUUUACUCAAUAGACAUGCGUUAAUCGUUACUAUUGAAAAUGCUCAAACUGAAAUCAUUUUAAGUUAAUAUAAUUACAUAUCACAAUUUUUUUUAAACUAUAUAUCAAUAAUAAUAUUGUGAGAUGUACAACUUAAAAGUACUUAAUUUAAUUAAUUCGUUCAUCGGUAUAGACUGAUUGAUGAAUUAACCAACAAAUCAAAAUGAAUAAUUGAAUUUUGAUUUUAAUCCAAUCAAUCUGAUUAAUAAUUAUUUUUUACUUUAUUGCCAAUAUAUAUAAGAGCUUAUUUUGUUAAAAUUUAUGGAUUUAAAUAAAUUAGCUAACAUAAAUAGUUAAAAUACGUUUAUUGCCACCUCACUCAAUUCUCCCCACCCCGCCACGUGCCAAACAAAGGCAAAGGCGGGAAAUUUAAACGGCCAUUAAAAAAAAAGCAUAUAAAAAACAAUUUGAGCCGCGAAAAUUUUCAAAUUUCUCGUUCUUCGUCUAUUCGAUCUCUCUGCAUAGAAAAAUGGAAGAUCCUUUCGCGUCCAUCGCUGCAAUCUUCGGUGUCUCAACUACACAGGAAUCUCAAUUCUCCUCUUCCGAUCAGAACUCAGGCGACGACCUAGGUCCGGGUGAGCUAUCGUCUGGAUCCGACGCGACAGAGUCGGAGACUGACCACGGCGGCGACGAUUAUGUCUUCCAUACGCCUCUAGAAGCUUCCUUCAGCGUUUCGGACAACGAAGCCUUCCAUACGCCGGCUCGAGCUUCUUACAGCCUGCCUAGUUCACAGGAGGUGGCGCAACCAGAAGAGAUCAUCAACGGCGCCCACAUUCGGCUUGAUGAUCAGAUGGAGGAGAGCGUUGGAGACAGUGAAGAUACCGUGCUGAUCUCCGUCCACAGUGAAGUUACCGCGCCGAUCUCCGUCGGAAGUGAAGAUACCGUGCCGAACUCCGUCGACAGUGAAGAUACCGUGCCGAUCUCCGUCGAUUUGGAGGCGGAAGCAGAUCACUCUUCAUGCGUUGGUGAUUCCCAGGUGGAUUUUCCAGAUGGCGUCGAUCGGGCUCCUGAAAACGAGGUAAUUCACUGUGAAUCUGUUCGAUAUAAGGUUUCGGAAGUGGAAUCUGUUCUGAUCGAGAAAUCCCUGGUAGUAAUAGAUCUGAGCUGAAUGAAUCUACGAGAAUCAUUAGAUUGAAAGAAUCGUUGCAAAAAUUGCAGUCUCUGUCUGAAAAACGGGAUAACUGGAUGACCAAUUCGAAGCUAGAGAAUCGAAAUGCUAGCUUGGACAACGUAAACUGUAUGGAUUGCGAGGAGAAAUUGUUCAUAAGUUCCGGCAUGAAUAUGAUUCUUCCAGAUGCUACAAUUGAUUGUUAUGAACUUAAAGAAACAGUUCAGAAGAACAGUAAGUUCGAUGAUGAACUACUUCACGGUGGAAAGAGGAAGCGAGCGGAGUUGUGCUAUAAAGAGGAAAUGGAAUCCGAUUAUUCUGAAGAAAUCGUUCCAGCUUUGGAGUAUAAUCUUGAUUCCUUAGAACACACUGAUGAGUUCAAUCAAGCUUGCAACAAUGGAGAAGAUGCUGAUACUGUAGACAAGCACAUACUGCCUGUAAACGACACCAAGCCAGCGAAGAAACCUCGGGUUAGGGUGCGUUUCAUAGCUCUGGACGUCCUGAAAAUGCUGGCACAACAAGAGAGUGAUCACCACCACCACUGUCCCAGAUUCGAAGCCACAAGCGCCGCGGAAAUCGCGCCUUCUAUUACAACAGCUAGUGCUCUAUUGGCCCUAUCUACUAGUAGUAGUUGAUAAGCCUAAUUAGAAUUUGAAUUCAAUAUAAGAGUUCUUAGGGCCUUUCUCCUUUUGUUGGCUUUUCUCCAAAUGCCAAUGAUAGGCAUUUGAAAUCAUAUUGGUAGCCUUAGAUCUUGAACGAGCUUACUCGAAUAUGGAGGCAUAUUAUCUCAUAUCGAUAUAUGGUUUAAUUGCAUGAGAAUAAUUUUUUAAGAAAUUAUGUAUGACGGAUAGACUAUCAUAAUUGAGCAAUUUGUGAGGUUUGAAAUCACGUUGAUACUUAAUAGUUCUAGAGAACUAUUUCCUUAUUUCACAGGUAGACCAAGUGACUCGAGCAUGGAAUUCGAGUUUUUAAAUAUGUCAAUCUAAUUAAUAAACAUCUUUAUUAGGACUAAAUUCAUUUACUCAAACAUUGUAUUUAAUACUAUUUUAUAAAAGUAUUAAUUAAUGAUAACAUGUAAGGAUAGGUGGUUUAGCUCAUUUUCAGUGAUCGCAAAGCUUUGCAUUCAGGAGUAAACAACUUCACGUGCCUUCCUCCUUACUCACAAGGAAACAAAACUCUACCAGUUACCUUACCAGAUGCAACUCUUUCUCUUUGUCUCACCUUAGACAUCGAUGUAUCCCAAAUUUGUGCCCACCAUUUCGUCCCGAUCAUUCACUUCUAUGAUUUAUUUCGAGCAUUCACGAAGCUAAGAAUCUUGCUGCAUCGUGUUUUCAUAGCAUAAUAACUAGUUGCAUAAAACUAUAUCGAAAUCUGCUUGCUGAUACGAAAUUUAACCAUUUUAACCGAUGGUUAGAAUACAGUUGAUGUUCCCAUAGGAAACGUAUAUACCAAGGUAGACAAAUGGUGCCAUUUAGCCUGCUAGUCUUGCUCAGACAAAGUCCAACUCAAAGUUUUCUCUCUUAACUAUUAAGUGGUCCUCUUGAAGGUCACAGAAUCUUAUCCUUCCCUUACAAGCCAAAACGAGGCUGAAAGGGAUUGUUUAGCUUUCUCGUCUCCUUCCUUUCUCUGCCACUAAAAGCUAACCGAACUGGACACCAAACCGACCAACCAGACCGGAUAUAAGUUAGGCUGAAUCUUCUUCCAUAUCUAUAUAUUACAUUAAGUUGGUGUCAACCUAUAUACAGAAGAAAACCAAGUCCCAUCCUCCCCAAAGUUGCCCUAUCUUGAUUGAGUUUCAAAAGGAAAUCUAGAAGGGCAAAAAAGUCUAAAGGGAGGACAAAAAGGAUGAGUUUUAAAGAAGAGAUAAGAGGGCCUCAAUCAUGACUUGCUUGUUUGUCUGUUUAGCAAGAGAUUUGCAUAGGUUAUAACUGUAUAUAAGACCCUAGGUUUCAUUUCGGUCAGGGACGGAGUGGGCGAAUUGAGCUACUGCUAGUGCUUGCUUGCAGCCCAAGAUUCCUCAGAUGCAGCAGUUCUGCCUGAGGGAAUGAGCCAUUGGAUGGCACAUCCAGCAGUAAGUCUCCUUCGUCGUCGAUGAAAUUGAGAGAGUCCUCGAAGCCUCCCUCGGGAGGCAAUGCGAACAGGCUCUUCGGACUGAAGUAGGAUGCCUCGUUUUCUGUGAGCUCGUUGUUCCCGUACGUAAUGCUCCUCUUAGGGCUUCUAAUCAUCUUCAUUUCUGCACAAGAGAGAGAGAACACACUCACAUGAUGAAUUUGUCUCCAUUUUCGUUUCGUGCAUCGAAAAUGAGAUGAAUGAGAUAUCUAAUUAACCUGGAAUCCUCUGACUCGAGCUCGAGAAAUUCGAAGCCACAUGGUUUCCCUUCACAGCAGGAGACUUCCCUCCAUUGCUUCUGCAUUUCUGUAGCGCACGAAAGCAGACCGAAACGAAUCAAAUAUAACACACACACACCACUCUUUGUGUGUAGUUAUGCCGGUAAGUUAAAGUGUCGGUCUGAACCUUGAGUAGAUUAUAGUGCUCGACCCAUUUAGACUUCGAGAAGUUCGAUAACGUAAGCCUCUUUAGAGUCUUGCAAUCUUCAGACUUGGCUCCAGGAAAUGAUAGAUCAAAGACUCCUUCUGCCAUUAGCUGUUGAUAGGAAGACAAGUUCUCCUUGUACUGAGGACUAUCAAACAUGGCUCUGAUGCUGCUAGAUAUAACAAGAACAACUAGUCAAUUAUCGAUACUAAAUCACGAAAAUUCACCAAUUUUUCGAGUCGGUACAGUCAUCGAACCUUUCAGGAACUCUGCCGGAGUCGACUGAAGGCAGAUAUUUCAGCAACUGCUGCUGCUCUUCGUUCGUCAACUGUUUCGCAAACUCCUCAAAAUUGAUGACACACUACACGAAACAGCAUUGUUAUGCAUCCCCCACAUUUCUAACAUUGUACGUAGUUCGGAUAUCGUAUUGAUAAAACCGUCUCAACGCGAAGUAAAACUUACAUUCAGAUCAAUGUUACACAGAGGUGACUUAUGACUGCCAAGAACCUGCACCUUGUCGUGUUGAGACUUGUCCCUGAAAUCGAAAAACUCAGAGAAGUCAAACCAUUUGCAAAGCAAAUAUCGCUAAGAUCGCUUAUUCGAGCACCUACCGGUUGAGAUUUGGUCCAGGACGGUUCUGAGCUUUUGCGAUAGCAGAACCAGGAGUCUUGAUGAUGACCGAGCGGGAGUAAGCUUCAUUAGCCGAAUGGCUAUACUUGUUGUGAACAGAAAGGGAACUGGCCUCCGACUCCUCAUCACGAGCUAUUGCACUCGGAUGCUUGAUGAGGACACUUCCAUGCCCUAUCUCGACGGAGACCAUUGGCGUUUCGCUCUCGAAAAGCAAAUCAUCCUCUUCAGAAAGGCCGGAGAAGCAAGAAGACUGCUGCUCGUGCCAUAUCGUGUAGAGAUCCUUCGUCAGCUUCUCCACUGAGGACUGUUUUGGACGGUUGACACAGGUUCUCUUUCGAGAUGGCACCGUCGAGUCCCAGACCACUGUUUGACCAGAGCCUGUGCCCAAAACACAGUCAGUGUAAGAUUUCUAACUAACAAUGCAGCUACUUAAGCUUAUGUUUGAAUGCUAUAGGCCACAUCUAAUCAAAUUCAGUCGAAAACGUGUUCCAAACCUGUCAAUUCACUAGCAUCGAUGCUGCCGAACUGUGCACAGCUCUCGGAAUUGGAAAUGGCUGAUCCGGAACUCGACCUAUUACUAACAUCUUCAUCGAAAGCCUUUCGGCUAUUCUGGACGUAAUCCGGAACUGUUACAAACCCUCCGACAGCCACAUCAGCCUCGACGAUAGCCUUCCUCUUCACGCGACCGUAAUCGACAGGGUCUGGCCGAGAAUGAAGAGGUGUGUAGUUCACUAGCGUUCCCUUCGUGCGCCACCUAGACCCACACGCAUUGCACAGAACCGGCUUCUCGGGGGGUCCGUUUCUCCAGAGUGGCGUGCCUAAAUCAAAAUCAAGGUUACACACAAGUUUAGUAUACACAAACCAAAAUCGGAUGCCAAUUCGACGAAUUAUAGCUCAUAGACUAGCAAUGUAGCCUUGAAGCUAAAUAAUGCAAAGCACAAGCUUUUGUAACUCUAUGCACCACCUAAAACUAACACAAAUAAGUACUCAUCAUGGACCGAAAUCAAAGAACUUAGCAUCGCAAUCGAUAGUGCCACGAUUCGACUAGCAAAUGUAGCAAUACCUUGAGCUAAAGUAAUG